CCCAACUAUCCCUAUUAAUCAUUACGCCGCCUCUAGAAACCAACAAAAAUAAAGAAGCGAUGUCCUAUUCUAUUAUCCCAUGCUAAUGUAUUCAAGGCGUAUGUUUUGGCACCUGCUUUGAACACUCUAAUUUUUUCAAGGUAACAGUCCUAAUUCCCCGUGACACCAAAUUAAUGGCAUUACGGUUCUUUAGAAGGUGAGAAAUCAAUAAUAUCAGUACAUACCAACGGCAUGACCGAAACAUUGAUCCCGAAAUUCAACUACGAGCUUUUUAACUGCAACAACUUUAAUAUACGCUAUUGGAGCUGGAAUUACCGCGGCUGCUGGCACCAGACUUGCCCUCCAA
Molecule: unclassified non-coding RNA, 346 nt
Filed under: uncultured Glomeraceae
Lineage: Eukaryota; Fungi; Glomeromycota; Glomeromycetes; Glomerales; Glomeraceae
Description: sequence contains 18S rRNA gene
Source: RNAcentral